Molecule: ribosomal RNA, 496 nt
Filed under: uncultured Bradyrhizobium sp.
Lineage: Bacteria; Pseudomonadati; Pseudomonadota; Alphaproteobacteria; Hyphomicrobiales; Nitrobacteraceae
Description: bacterial SSU rRNA
Rfam family: Bacterial small subunit ribosomal RNA
Source: RNAcentral
CCCGCUCAGAAACUUAAAGGAAUGACGGGGGCCCGCACAAGCGGUGGGAGCAUGUGGUUUAAUUCGACGCAACGCGAAGAACCUUACCAGCCCUUGACAUCCCGGUCGCGGAUCCAGAGACGGAAUCCUUCAGUUCGGCUGGACCGGAGACAGGUGCUGCAUGGCUGUCGUCAGCUCGUGUCGUGAGAUGUUGGGUUAAGUCCCGCAACGAGCGCAACCCCCGUCCUUAGUUGCUACCAUUUAGUUGAGCACUCUAAGGAGACUGCUGGUGAUAAGCCGCGAGGAAGGUGGGGAUGACGUCAAGUCCUCAUGGCCCUUACGGGCUGGGCUACACACGUGCUACAAUGGCGGUGACAAUGGGACGCUAAGGGGCAACCCUUCGCAAAUCUCAAAAAGCCGUCUCAGUUCGGAUUGGGCUCUGCAACUCGAGCCCAUGAAGUUGGAAUCGCUAGUAAUCGUGGAUCAGCAUGCCACGGUGAAUACGUUCCCGGGCCUU